GACGAACGCUGGCGGCGUGCUUUAGGCAUGCAAGUCGAACGCGAAAGCCCUUUCUGGGGUGAGUAGUGUGGCGACCGGGUGAGUAACACGUGGGUAACCUGCCCCUCUCAGGUGGAUAACCGCGUGAAACCCCUGCUAAUACCCCGUACGCUUGCUGGGUCGCAUGCUCCGGCAGGGAAAGGUAGCUUCGGCCAUCCGGCGAGGGAGGGGCUCGGGGCCCAUUAGCUGGUUGGUGGGGUAACGGCCCACUAGGGGGACGGUGGGUCGCUGGCCUGGGAGGGUGGUCAGGCACAGUGGGAGUGAGAGACGGCACAGAGUCCGACGGGAGGCAGCAGCCAGGAAUGGUGCGCAAAGGGCGGAAGACUGAAGCAGCGACGGAGCGUGGGUGAUGAAAGGCCUCGGGUCGGAAAGCGCUGUUGGGGGGGACGAAGGGCGAAGGGUGAAUAGAACCUAGAGUGACGGUAACGGAUGAGGAAGCCCCGGCUAACUACGUG
Molecule: ribosomal RNA, 494 nt
Filed under: uncultured bacterium
Lineage: Bacteria
Description: partial 16S ribosomal RNA
Rfam family: Bacterial small subunit ribosomal RNA
Source: RNAcentral